Long non-coding RNA from Ochlerotatus camptorhynchus, 3359 nucleotides. RefSeq lists it as uncharacterized. The record is from RefSeq and is a predicted model, not a curated record. The transcript is spliced from 3 exons. Lineage: Eukaryota; Metazoa; Arthropoda; Insecta; Diptera; Culicidae.
UUAUCAUAGGACGAAUCUACGCAAAUCUCCAUUGAGUUCAUACAUAGUUCAAAAAGAGUUUGUUUAAAAUUUAUUCGACCAAAAAUGCUUUCUUAAGAAUCUAUCUACAGAGAGCUCUCAACAACUGUAUAUUGAAGGGAUCAUUGAGCUAUAGAAAUUCACGUUCACUAUGGUUCUGGAUAUCGAGUAAGUGGACAUCGCGAGCCAGUAGACAUCAAGUUAUGGAGAAUUUACUUUAUUUUAAAAAAAUCUCGAAAUCAAACGAGCUAAGUGAUUUGUAUAUUUUCUACCAGUCUGAAUAUACAUGAGCAUAAUGAGCAUGAGAAUGAUUGACCCCCACAGUUACUGCUCUGUUAUUGCCAGAUCAGCUGAUAUUACACAGAGAACCAACAGAUGAUGUUUGGGACAAACAUUCCUCCUUAAUGUGUAAAAACUGGAGAUCUAAUAUUUAGCAAUAUCAGCUCCAGCCGUGUCCGAAUGCAGGUCAAAUUGGGAAUGGGAAGGAAUGUGUUGACGUGAUACUCGCUGUGAAGGAAACCGAGAAGUCUCUGCGCUUCCACGAUAUAUCGCUGAAAUGUUGGAUGAGGGGAAAGGUUUCCAGCAGGGAUCAUUUUGGUAAACUCGAAAAGAACUAAACUUAUCUUUGUUUGCUUCUUCCUUCAUCAAAUGCCUCCAAUGUUAACCAAAUUCCCGAUUUCCAUUUGACGUUUGUCAGCUGCAAGCUUCUGGCACUUGAAACACUUGAAUGAAGUCCUUCCUCGGCAACAUGAUCGCACCGAACGAUGGGACGUUGAGGGUUUGGUGGCUUGACCGUGGUUCCAGGAACGAUCUGGGGGAUAAGGCAGAGACGUAGAGCUUGUAGCUCCUGCACUCGCUGAUAUCCGAUGAACUUCCGUUGCUGUUGAUUGGCCAACAUCUUGAAGUUUGGUUUUGGUGGCGAUCCGGAACCGGACGAUCGAAUCCAGGUACAUCUAUGGUAGUUGUUGAUCGGAUCAGCACCCAAGUAUAAAUACAACACCGGACGACGCCAUACAUUUAAAAAGUUAAUCACAGGUAAUCACUGGAACUUCGAUUCGCGAAAAAUGUGCUCCAAUUACGAGACAAACUAUCACACAUAAGUUAUUAAUUUUCAAUUUGUAUAAAAAAUUUCAAACAUGACAGAGAAAACAAACGUCACGUCCGUAUGCACACACAGCCUACUCCGAUCUUCUCUUUUCUACAAGUCUGAAAAUACAGGAAAUUAAGAUGCUGCGAAAUUCUAGUACUACACUAGGAAGGGUCUAUCGAAGACUAAAAAAUAAAUAAGACCGGCAACUCUGCCAAAAAACAGGAGACAAUAACGGCAACGCCUCUACUGAGCAAAAGUGGAACCCGUGUAUGAUGGUGUGUGUUAAUUCACGAGUUCAUUCACAUACAUAGGUAGAAAUGAGCCCUUUAGGGCAUUCGUAUGGUGCAUUAGUAAAAUGCAUGCCUGUUCCGCACGGCUUUGUCACCUGGCCACAGCGGGGUGAGUUAAGUUGUGACGCUCGGCAACUUGGCACAGUACUCGCUGACUAUUUGAAUGUCAUUGGCCAAUCCGACACUGUUGUUAUCAUUCUCUGGAAGGGGUUGGUCGAUUCCAAGAAUUGUUAGAGCAUACAGAGGAUCACUAUCCGAUGGUUUCAUGUUCUGACAACAUCUUAAAUGGAAAUAUAUUCUUUAUCAAUACGUACCGUUUGGGAUUGCAGUCCUUCAACCUUUCAUAUUCAUUUUCUCCACCAUUAGAUCCUGCUACGCCUUCCGUGCGAUCGUUUUGUAUGUACCGGAUCUUGCUUCUUCUUGAAUCCUUGAAUUUUCACCAGCUUCUAAAUGAUGAUGGAAGCUUCCAAUUCCUUAUCAUUGAUUGCUUCCAACAGGCAAAAUAAACAAUAUUUCGGAUCCUCGUUCACAAGUAAAACUUACUUUCACUAGGUAUCGAUCCGAGUUUCAAUCCUCUACUUGAUCCACCAUGACAAGUUUUUCGGUUUGGAGUCGGAAAGCCACCAGCUUGCUGUGAUUAGGAUACAAAUUGCCGUGAAAUUUUGUAGAGCAAAACAAAAACAACAACGAGUAUAGUGUUAUGAUUAUUCGAUUCGGUGACGUUAGGUCGCACACACAGUCACUAUUUAUGAGCAGUCUCACUAACACUUGUGCUUCAAAGUUCAACCUUUGAUUGACAGAGGCGCUGUUAUCAAUGACGUUUGACAUUUGUAUUGUAGAAGGGAAUUUUGUAGUUUUCGGUCUAGUAUAAGAGAGGUGUGGAUUCAAAACGAACUGCCUUGGCAACCUAUGCCUAUAAAAGAUUGACCGAUAAAAUGAGGGGUUCGUGGAUUUCCUAUGUUUCGAGGGGUGCAUCGAUUAGCUUGGGACCGAAGAGAGUACCAGAGAUUAGCCAAAAAGUUGAGCACGUUUCUUCGAGACCUUUUGGUCUUAGAGUUACCUCUAUGUUAGAGUUACCUCUAUGGUAUUCCUUUGUUAUCAGUUCAUUAUCGUACCAGUUCAUGUCCUUCAGAUCCAUUAAAUGAGUUUGCUUUAUUGGCUCCGAAAGAACUACCAUUCUUUUUAAAUGAAUGGCCGUUCUUUUGUUCAUUUAGAGGAACUAACCAACAAACAAUUUUAGCUGCAGAUUAGCUUAUACUGCCAAAAUUUGCCUUAUGCAGCUAAUUAUUGGCUGUAUAAGCUGAGCUGCAGCUAAAAUUGUUAGUUGGGUAGUUGUUUAGAACAGUUCGUGAACGGAUUGCCCAACUCUACUCGAAAUAGGCUCAUAAAGUACGAUUAACUCUUAUUGAUCACAAGAUUCGAGCCAACUUAAUGUAUUUCAAAACAACCACUCAACAAAGAACUCAAUGUGUACUACCAUUGAAGCUUUGAAUGCUACCCAACAUGAUUUCUGUAUAAUGACAAUUAAUGUUGACAGAAAUCCGGAAAAUGAUUGAAAAUCAGUUGCGGGUUGCAACAAUUAGGUCACCACAGGCCCAAGAGUAUUGAAUCAACUGGCAGGGGAUAUUUUCGUAAUUAUGUUUAUUUUCAAUUCAUAAAAUAAUUCCAAAUGCUUACGAGAAUGCCUUGCAGCGAAGACACCAUACCAAAUUUGCCAAAAUCCAAGCGUCAGAUAUAGUAGCGCCAACAAUCAAUACGAAACUAACGAUUUUAAAUUGGCUCACCACUUUAGUAGCCUAUUGGUCCCAAGCAAACGAUUAACGUACCCUAUUCUAGUUGAAAUUCUAUUACUACACUAUGUUUGUUUUGAUUCGCUAUGAAAGUUUGACAGAUAACAUCAGGGGUGUGUGGAUUCAUGCAGAACAUGCAGGGGUGAGUGAAAUAGCUUGGGACUGCUUGGG